RNAcentral lists this ribosomal RNA (800 nucleotides) under Klebsiella pneumoniae. RNAcentral's name for it is "bacterial SSU rRNA". It matches the Rfam family "Bacterial small subunit ribosomal RNA", at positions 210 to 991 of the family's 1533-position model. The record is from RNAcentral. Lineage: Bacteria; Pseudomonadati; Pseudomonadota; Gammaproteobacteria; Enterobacterales; Enterobacteriaceae.
UUAAAAUGUUAUCAGAGGUGCCCAGAUGGGAUUAGCUCCCAAGAGGGGUAACGGCUCACCUAGGCGACGAUCCCUAGCUGGUCUGAGAGGAUGACCAGCCACACUGGAACUGAGACACGGUCCAGACUCAUACGGGAGGCAGCAGUGGGGAAUAUUGCACAAUGGGCGCAAGCCUGAUGCAGCCAUGCCGCGUGUAUGAAGAAGGCCUUCGGGUUGUAAAGUACUUUCAGCGGGGAGGAAGGCGAUAAGGUUAAUAACCUUGUCGAUUGACGUUACCCGCAGAAGAAGCACCGGCUAACUCCGUGCCAGCAGCCGCGGUAAUACGGAGGGUGCAAGCGUUAAUCGGAAUUACUGGGCGUAAAGCGCACGCAGGCGGUCUGUCAAGUCGGAUGUGAAAUCCCCGGGCUCAACCUGGGAACUGCAUUCGAAAACUGGCAGGCUAGAGUCUUGUAGAGGGGGGUAGAAUUCCAGGUGUAGCGGUGAAAUGCGUAGAAGAUCUGGAGGAAUACCGGGGGCGAAGGCGGCCCCCUGGACAAAGGACUGACGCUCAGGUGCGAAAAGCGUGGGGGAGCAAAACAGGAUUAGAUACCCUGGUAGUCCACGCCGUAAACGAUGUCGAUUUGGAGGUUGUGCCCUUGAGGCGUGGCUUCCGGAGCUAACGCGUUAAAUCGACCGCCUGGGGAGUACGGGCCGCAAGGGUUAAAACUCAAAUGAAUUGACGGGGGCCCGCCCAAGCGGUGGAAGCAUGUGGUUUAAUUUCGAUGCAACCCGAAAGAACCUUACCUGGACUUGACAUUCCC